Drosophila persimilis is the source of this 355-nucleotide long non-coding RNA. RefSeq lists it as uncharacterized. Lineage: Eukaryota; Metazoa; Arthropoda; Insecta; Diptera; Drosophilidae. The transcript has 3 exons. The record is from RefSeq and is a predicted model, not a curated record.
UUCAGUUUUUGUGGAUCGUCGGAUCGCUGAUGCUGGACGCAUCUCUGCUUGAGUUCCCGAAAUGUCUGGGCCAUUUGAAAACGAUAGCCUGUGGAAUGUGGAAUGUGUGGAGGAAAUAAUAUGCUAAAUGGUUUUCGGAGUAGGAUUUGUAUAUCUCAAAAAGUGCUUACAUAACGGAAAAACGCUGCGAGAGGAGUCUCACAUUUGCAGAGAUUUGCAGAGUGUAAAACGAGUCUUAUAUGUACAUAUCAGUUCGUCCCGACAAUCAUUUCUGCGACCCAUCAUUUCUGCGGCGUCUCAUUCUGUAAAUUUGUCACGUAAUCAAAUAUGAAAUUAUACCAAAAAUAAAUUGCAU